UGAAGAGGGUGACCUGGCUAUGACAUCUGUCACUCCAUUAGGAUUAGUUCUGCCCAUUUGGCUGACUACAAGUGUGUCCCCUUUUUCCCCUCACCACUCCAUGAAUUCCUCCUGAAUCUUUGCAUUUGGUGGAAGAGGACAACCUUCCCCAACAAAGGAGAACAGUUCUUUCUGCUGUAAUGUAGCUGUGCACCUCUGCUGAAGCUUCCAAAAAAGUUUCAAGAUCCAGAUUAAAAGUUUUUUUUU
Unclassified non-coding RNA from Mesocricetus auratus (golden hamster), 246 nucleotides. Its record names the gene 7SK. It matches the Rfam family "7SK RNA". From Rfam's summary of the family: 7SK was discovered as an abundant small nuclear RNA in the mid-70s but a possible function has only recently been suggested. Two independent studies have found that 7SK RNA binds the CDK9/cyclin T complex (known as elongation factor P-TEFb). Lineage: Eukaryota; Metazoa; Chordata; Mammalia; Rodentia; Cricetidae. The record is from Ensembl.